Molecule: small RNA, 78 nt
Filed under: Vibrio sp. S234-5
Lineage: Bacteria; Pseudomonadati; Pseudomonadota; Gammaproteobacteria; Vibrionales; Vibrionaceae
Description: isrK
Source: RNAcentral
GCACUGGCAAAAUCCAGUGCCGGACUCCUACUCCGAAUAUUCAAAAGGCGCAUGUCGCCAACUUCACGUUGGUUUUUU